AUAAUUCAAAUUGUAAAAUUCAACUCGUCUCGAACUCAAAAUUCGAAUUACUUAUUCUAACCAAUUUGAAUAAUUCAAUUUAAUUGAAUCAAAACAUAAUAUAAUUAACUCAAUGGUGCAUAUAAGACAAUAUGGAUUAUGCAUGUGAAAAUUGAAGCAAUAAUAAAAUGAUUUAAGCAAUGCUGAAUUGGCUAUAAAAAAAAAAGUCGGUUAGUAGGUAAAACCCUUUAAUUGGUGCUUCAAAGUUGAAAGUAAUAGUAAUAGUAGGCAAUGGUUUAUUAAUGAGUAGGCCAUUGGUUCGGUUUCUUUUUUAAAUAAUAUUAUGAGAAGACUUUCUAUAUAAGGAGAGACAGCUUCAUCCUUUAUAACAAAUCUCACCCACUGAAAAGAAAAGGAGCUUGGUAGAUAAAUUUUUUACAUUUAAUCCUAUGUAGAUAUAUUACGGUCCUCCUAAAAAUAUAAGUAGGCCUUUCAAGGUUUAAGAUUUUUACAAUUUCUC
This 499-nucleotide long non-coding RNA is filed under the name Gossypium barbadense (sea-island cotton). RNAcentral describes it as "long non-coding RNA (GBAR_LNC008236)". Lineage: Eukaryota; Viridiplantae; Streptophyta; Magnoliopsida; Malvales; Malvaceae. The record is from RNAcentral.